RNAcentral lists this long non-coding RNA (775 nucleotides) under Brassica napus (rape). RNAcentral's name for it is "long non-coding RNA (BNAP_LNC017404)". Lineage: Eukaryota; Viridiplantae; Streptophyta; Magnoliopsida; Brassicales; Brassicaceae. The record is from RNAcentral.
UCUCUCUAUUUCGACCCUAGAUUUAUAAGUAGAGAUAUUAAUUUUAAAAAAAAAAAAAGGAAAAAACAAAAAAGACAAAAAAACAAAAAAAAAAUAUAUAUAUUAAUAUAUAUAUAUAAUAUGAUUUAGUUAGGUGGAAUCCGAACAUGACCUGGCGGCUACAACCAUUAAGGCUUGCUUCAUAAGGAUUCCAACAAAAAGAAUUCGAACAGGACUUGGUGGCGGCAAUCAUCAAGGUUUGAUUCACAUGAAAUCUUGGAUAUAGGUCAAAAAGAAGUGAACAUGACUUGGUGGCAACCACUAUUAAGGCCUGAUUCAUGGAAGCCUGUCCAAUCUUGGUCAAUGAUCCUGCAAUGGAAGCAUAAUUUGACUAAAGAGAGAAAUUAGUAGAGAGAAAAGAUAGGAACUAACUUUUACCUGCAGAUCCAAAUACUUGUUUGAAAAUCAUUGCAUCCUGUGAUCGAUACUAAGUUGUUGGCUAGUUGAAUUUGGUAGUGGGGAAUGUAAGAAAGGAUUUGCUAAGUUGUUAGCUAGUUAAAUUUGGUUGUUAAGCUAGGAUAUGGUAUAAUGUGCUUUUGUGAUUAGGACUUCUUAGAUAUGGAUUGCAAUAUUGCAGAGGUGAUAAUUCUAAGUUUUAAAUCAUGUGAGUCCCUGUUGUUUUCAAACCUCAUUCAAAGAGACUGCUUGUAUGUUUUGCUUGAUGAAACAGCAUUGGUGUCGAUCGACAGUGAUGCCAGAAUGUGGGUCAAGCAUAAUUCAAGACGGAUUGAAGCCC